UCCCCACUAUUCGACAUGGAUACCUAAAAACAGAACAACCAACACCUAAUGCCGCUAUCAACUGACAGGUAGCUAAUGCUAAGCUAGCGGUUAAGUUGGCAACUUUAGCACAGUUUGGUACAGUGAAACAUAACUUAAUUGGACAAGGAAAAGAAGAGGCUUACCGAAGGUGACAACUCAGGAUAUAAACUUUGCCUAACGUUUAUGGUCAUAAUGUUUAUCGAUAACUAAAUAUUGCUGCUAUCCGAGGAAUGGCGCACAGCGGAGAGGAGGUUACCAGGGAGACGCCAGAGAAGGUGCACGAGGCAGUGACCUUCCUGCUAAAGAGGUCAAGGAUCCUUCGGACGUGUGCUUCUUCUCUCCAAAGGAACCAGACCACAGUGAGCGGCUGAGCCCUGCACUCCCGCGCUGCUGAGACUUCUUUCCGCCCCGGGUCUAUAUUGAUUGGCCACCAGCUGUGCCUGCUGUCUGCAGUCCCAUUGUGGUCAGAAACAACUGAACUUCGUCUAUAGAAGCAAAGGUGCGGUUUGGAGAGCAAAUGACCAAACUCAGGAAAAAGUGACUGAGCCACAUUGUAUUUGCUCCUCUCCACACACAGAAAAACAAGAAUGACUUUAAAUGAAGGCUAGGCCGCAAUUCAAGGGCAGGCUUUUUGGUUAAGGAGAAGCAGGGAGGAUAGACAUCACUAAGUUGGCCUGGACCGGUCUGAUCAGCACAGCAGCCCUUUCGAAGAAUGAGCCUCUGCCAAAAGCUGCCUCUGCCUAACCAAGUCUCCCACCAUCUGCAACAAAUGUGCUCUAUUAAAGCAGUACCAUAUGGACAACAAGCUAGCUAUUAACACGGCUUCAGCACAUCCCCUUAACCUAGCCCAGAUUUCAAACUUCCAGUCAAAUUGACUGCUGAUUUAAUGCACCGCCAGCAGCCAUGUGGGUCUUGGCACGAGACGGCACUCCCGGCCUUCAGUCAUUAACAGGCUCACGUAGCGCGCGGCGCACAGCGAGACACAGAAGUUAGCUACACAGAUCCUACAAGUAACUACAUCCCAGGUUACUUGUUAAAUCCUUUAACCAAACCCAUAUGAGAAAACGUAACAAUAUCCAGAGAGGAGGGUAGAGAGAGCAAGAGUCUGAUCCAGGAACUCCAGCCUUCUUAAGACAAGUAAACCCGGGCUCAAAACACUCUAUUGUACCGAGUGGAAACAAGCUUAUGAAGCACAUCUACCCACAGAGUGGCGGCCUAACUGGUGGCUUAUGUCUCAGUUCUUCCACAGUGAUGGAGAGUGCAUUUGCUGCCUCUGCAUGGAUCCAAAAUGGCAGUGAUUAACCCUGCAGGGUGUGAGGGGGGGUGGGCACUUUAAUCCCUGUGGGCCGGGUGGCCAUGUUGACGCCUCUCCCCUCUCUGAGUCAUGGGGGGACCCACCCACUGUUCACAAUGCCA
Centropristis striata (black sea bass) is the source of this 1437-nucleotide long non-coding RNA. RefSeq lists it as uncharacterized. NCBI's taxonomy places the organism in Eukaryota, Metazoa, Chordata, Actinopteri, Perciformes, Serranidae. The record is from RefSeq and is a predicted model, not a curated record. The transcript has 4 exons.